This is a long non-coding RNA of Spea bombifrons (plains spadefoot toad), 245 nucleotides long. RefSeq lists it as uncharacterized. NCBI's taxonomy places the organism in Eukaryota, Metazoa, Chordata, Amphibia, Anura, Pelobatidae. The transcript is spliced from 2 exons. The record is from RefSeq and is a predicted model, not a curated record.
GGUUAUGCUACAUUAUUGGCAAUGUCUGGCUCAAUGUAUAGUGAUAGGUGUUAUGCUGUACCACCGUCAAUGUCUGCCUCAGUAUAUAGUGAUAGGUGUUAUGCUGUACCCCAGUCAAUGUGUGCCUCAGUAUAUAGUGAUAGGUGUUAUGCUGUACCCCAGUCAAUGUGUGCCUCAGUAUAUAGUGAUAUGCUGUACCCCAGUCAAUGUGUGCCUCAGUAUAUAGUGAUAGGUGUUAUGCUGUA